Molecule: ribosomal RNA, 496 nt
Filed under: uncultured bacterium
Lineage: Bacteria
Description: partial 16S ribosomal RNA
Rfam family: Bacterial small subunit ribosomal RNA
Source: RNAcentral
AUGAACGCUGGCGGCGUGCCUAAUACAUGCAAGUCGAGCGAACAGACGAGGAGCUUGCUCCUCUGACGUUAGCGGCGGACGGGUGAGUAACACGUGGAUAACCUACCUAUAAGACUGGGAUAACUUCGGGAAACCGGAGCUAAUACCGGAUAAUAUAUUGAACCGCAUGGUUCAAUAGUGAAAGACGGUUUUGCUGUCACUUAUAGAUGGAUCCGCGCCGCAUUAGCUAGUUGGUAAGGUAACGGCUUACCAAGGCAACGAUGCGUAGCCGACCUGAGAGGGUGAUCGGCCACACUGGAACUGAGACACGGUCCCGACUCCUACGGGAGGCAGCAGUCGGGAAUCUUCCGCAAUGGGCGAAAGCCUGACGGAGCAACGCCGCGUGAGUGAUGAAGGUCUUCGGAUCGUAAAACUCUGUUAUUAGGGAAGAACAAAUGUGUAAGUAACUAUGCACGUCUUGACGGUACCUAAUCAGAAAGCCACGGCUAACUACGUG